Molecule: ribosomal RNA, 295 nt
Filed under: Parageobacillus thermantarcticus
Lineage: Bacteria; Bacillati; Bacillota; Bacilli; Caryophanales; Anoxybacillaceae
Description: 16S rRNA. Bacterial SSU
Rfam family: Bacterial small subunit ribosomal RNA
Source: RNAcentral
UUUCUAUGGAGAGUUUGAUCCUGGCUCAGGACGAACGCUGGCGGCGUGCCUAAUACAUGCAAGUCGAGCGGACCAAACAGGAGCUUGCUCUUGUUUGGUUAGCGGCGGACGGGUGAGUAACACGUGGGUAACCUGCCCGUAAGACCGGGAUAACUCCGGGAAACCGGAGCUAAUACCGGAUAACACCGAAGACCGCAUGGUCUUUGGUUGAAAGGCGGCUUCGGCUGCCACUUACGGAUGGGCCCGCGGCGCAUUAGCUAGUUGGUGAGGUAACGGCUCACCAAGGCGACGAUGC